RNAcentral lists this long non-coding RNA (1064 nucleotides) under Catharus ustulatus (Swainson's thrush). RNAcentral describes it as "lncRNA (ENSCUSG00005011198.1)". The record is from RNAcentral. Lineage: Eukaryota; Metazoa; Chordata; Aves; Passeriformes; Turdidae.
GAGAGAAUUCCCUAAAAGGAGGAGAGAAUUCCCAAAACCAGAAUUCCCUGGGAGAGGAGAAAUCCCAAAAAGAGAAUUCCUUGAGAGGAGAGGAUUCCCAAAAAGAGAAUUCCCAGAGAAAAGAGUUCCCAAAACCAGAAUUUCCUUGAGAGAAGAAUUCCCAAAAAACCAAAAAUCCUGGGACAAAGCCGAGCUGGGGCCGGGCUCCUCUUGGACAAAGGGAAUUCCUUUGGCACCAGGAGAUUUUGGAUUUUGUGUUUGGAAAACACCUGCACUGCUUGGGAAUUUGGGGGGAUUUAUUUUUUGGUUUUUUUUCCAGGGUUUUUAAAAUUUUUUUUCCUUUUUUUUGGUUUUUUUUUUCCUUUUUUUUGUUUUUUUUCCUUUUUUUUUUGUUUUUUUUUCCAAUUUUUUGGGGGUUUUUUUCCAUUUUUUUGUUGUUGUUUUGUUUUUUGUUUGUUUUCCCUCAGAUUAAAGAACGAGCUCCAGACUGCAAAUCCUCGAGAGCUUUUUCUGGGGCCUCCCUGGUGUCUCUUCUAGACCAAAGAAUUAAAAAAAAUUUUUUAAAAAAGUUUAAAAAAAGGAAAUUUUCACUGCUGGAACUGGGGGCUCCUUCCCCAAAAAUUCACUUUGGAGAUUUCACGUGGGAACUGCAGGAAUUUGUGGAUUUAUUCAGAUUUAUUUGCAGGAAUUUGUGGAUUUAUUCAGAUUUAUUUGCAGGAAAUUUGGGAAAGGAGGGGGAGCACUCAAAGAUCUCAGUUUGGAUUUCUCCAAAUUUUGCUUUGGAUUGAUUUUUUUUUUUGGGAGAUUUUUGGGUUUUUUCUCCUGGAAUUCUCUGCUCCCCUCCUGGAAAAAAAAAAAAAAAGACAAAUUCCCAAAUUCCAGGUGGAUUCUUUUGCCAAAUUCUGAAUUUUUGGGGAUGCUCAGAGCAGGGACACCCCAAAAAAUUCAAAAAAAUUCAAAAUAAUUCUGGAUUUUCCAGGGAGGAUUCACUGCAGCACAGUUUGGGUGACUUUUCAACAUCAAUUUUAUUUUUUUUUUCAUUUUUAUUGACAAAACCCAGCACA